RNAcentral lists this ribosomal RNA (253 nucleotides) under uncultured bacterium. RNAcentral describes it as "partial 16S ribosomal RNA". It matches the Rfam family "Bacterial small subunit ribosomal RNA", at positions 524 to 776 of the family's 1533-position model. The record is from RNAcentral.
UACAGAGGGUGCGAGCGUUGUCCGGAAUCACUGGGCGUAAAGGGCGCGUAGGCGGCUUUAUAAGCGUGCGGUGAAAGCCCGGGGCUCAACCCCGGGUCGGCCGUGCGAACUGUCGAGCUGGAGCACUGUAGAGGCAGGUGGAAUUCCGGGUGUAGCGGUGGAAUGCGUAGAGAUCCGGAAGAACACCGGUGGCGAAGGCGGCCUGCUGGGCAGUGGCUGACGCUGAGGCGCGACAGCGUGGGGAGCAAACAGG